RNAcentral lists this ribosomal RNA (673 nucleotides) under Atactorhynchus duranguensis. RNAcentral describes it as "LSU rRNA". It matches the Rfam family "Eukaryotic large subunit ribosomal RNA", at positions 426 to 916 of the family's 3401-position model. The record is from RNAcentral. Lineage: Eukaryota; Metazoa; Acanthocephala; Eoacanthocephala; Neoechinorhynchida; Neoechinorhynchidae.
ACGCGUKGGUUCKCACUGUCAUUCAGCUGUGCGUGCGGGUGGGAGCUUAGUGUUUCGACCUUCGCUUUUGCACACGUACGUUCAGCGCAUUUGACAGUGCGACGAUCUGCUUGGCUUUGUCCUGGCCACAGCCACAGGGAAGUACGUGUCAAUUUCGAUUGCACACAUGUCUCGAGUAGACUUAUACAGUAAAAUGGAGAAAAUUGCGCGUGGAUUGUCGCUCAGGCGACUGUUGGUUGGGACGGAGUUUGGCAAACUCCUGUUUGCGUUGUACGCUAAUGGCCGCAUGCGAGUGGGGACGAAAGUUUCUGUUCGUCAUGCGGUUUCAUGGACGAUGUGAAUGUUGAAAGCAGAUUCGGAUGUGGCAUCAUUCGAACCGUCUUGAAACACGGGCUAAGGAGUUCAACAAAUGCGCGAGUUCACUGGUUUUGCGAAACCAGAUGGCUAAGUUAACGCGAAUUUGUGAAUAAUGGUAAAAACUCGUCGUUGCUUCGCAAUGUCGAGGUCAUUGCCUAAGAUGGAUGACAUACUAGUACCGGUUGUCGUUCGCAGUUGAGCGCAUAUGCUGAGACCCGAAAGAUGGUGAACUAUGCCUGAGUAGGAUGAAGCCGGAGGAAACUCUGGUGGAGGUCCGAAGCGUUUUUGACGUGCAAAUCAAUCGUCAGACUUGGGU